RNAcentral lists this ribosomal RNA (459 nucleotides) under uncultured bacterium. RNAcentral describes it as "partial 16S ribosomal RNA". It matches the Rfam family "Bacterial small subunit ribosomal RNA", at positions 339 to 795 of the family's 1533-position model. The record is from RNAcentral.
CUACGGGCGGCUCCAGUAAGGAAUAUUGGACAAUGGAGGCAACUCUGAUCCAGCCAUCCCGCGUGCAGGAUGAAUGCCCUUUGGGUUGUAAACUGCUUUUACUAGGGAAGAAAGGUAGUCAUUUAUGAUUAUUUGACGGUACCUAAAGAAUAAGCACCGGCUAACUCCGUGCCAGCAGCCGCGGUAAUACGGAGGGUGCAAGCGUUAUCCGGAUUUACUGGGUUUAAAGGGUGCGUAGGCGGCUUAUUAAGUCAUAGGUGAAAGGCAUCGGCUUAACCGAUGGAUUGCCUGUGAUACUGGUGAGCUUGAAUUGGGUUGAGGUUGGCGGAAUGUGACAUGUAGCGGUGAAAUGCAUAGAUAUGCCAUAGAACAUCGAUUGCGAAGGCAGCUGACUGGACCUUGAUUGACGCUGAGGCACGAAAGCGUGGGUAGCGAACAGGAUUAGAUACCCUAGUAGUC